This 181-nucleotide ribosomal RNA is filed under the name uncultured bacterium. RNAcentral describes it as "partial 16S ribosomal RNA". It matches the Rfam family "Bacterial small subunit ribosomal RNA", at positions 1320 to 1500 of the family's 1533-position model. The record is from RNAcentral.
AUGAAGCUGGAAUCGCUAGUAAUCGCGAAUCAGAAUGUCGCGGUGAAUACGUUCCCGGGUCUUGUACACACCGCCCGUCACACCAUGGGAGUUGGGAAUGCCCGAAGUCAGUGACCCAACCGCAAGGAGGGAGCUGCCGAAGGCAGGCUUGAUAACUGGGGUGAAGUCGUAACAAGGUAAC